UUAUUUACUGUUUGCAUAUUCUUAUAGGGGAAGGCCAUAAGCUAUUUCUUUCCUGAAAGUUUUCAUGCUUCACCAUUUUCAAAGAGGAUGUAAGAAAAACAAAGGAAACCUCUCCAUAUGGAAUCUCCCCCCUUCCUCCAAGAGGCACAUGCUCAAUCGCCUUAGACUCUCUGCGACCCGCUGGACCGGUCUCCUGCAUUUCCUGCAUUGGCAGUCAGAGUCUUUACCACUGAGCCACUUGGGAAGCCCUCCAAGAGGUAAACAGUAGCUAAUUUAAAAAAAAAUAAUUGCCUUACUUUUCCUCAUAUAUUCAUCUGUAAAUAACCUUUGCUAUUUUCUUAUAUCAGAUGUUUAAAAAACUGGAAUGAUGCUGAGUUUAUUUUUUAAUCAUUCUUAUAAAU
This is a long non-coding RNA of Bos indicus x Bos taurus (hybrid cattle), 401 nucleotides long. Lineage: Eukaryota; Metazoa; Chordata; Mammalia; Artiodactyla; Bovidae. The record is from Ensembl.